UUUUCAAGAAAAUGACAAUAAUACCCUCAAAAAAUUUUGUUUGGCGUGCUGAUUUCCCUCUCCUUAUGUACUACCCUCUGUCAACCUUGCCUCCUUUCUUCAAAAAUAAAAAAAAUAAAAACCUUGCCUUCAUUUUUCUGUAAUCUCAUCUCCAUCAUUUCUACUCUCUCUAUUCUAUGGUCUACAAAGCAAGUGAUGGCUCGCAUCCCUUUAAGUAAACAAAAGAAGAUUGCAAUGACUUGUAUUGUGAUAUAUAGGCAGAUUAUGGUCAUGAUUAUGGCUACAUUACUUCAACUCAUGUAUCUUCUUUCCAUUACAAAUAUUAAAGUUCCUAAGCCAAUAUCUUUUGUGUUUGAUGAUACACUUGAAAACCGGAUAACCGCUAGAAUUUUAAAUGUUAGACCUAUGAUCCAAGGGAGUGACAUAGCAUGUUUGGAUAACCUUAGAAUGGAUAGGGCUUGUUUUUAUAAGUUAUGUGAGAUGCUUAGGGAUGUUGGCAAGUUGCAAGGAAAUAGGAACACUAGUUUGGAUGAAAUGGUGGCUUUAUUUCUCUUUACACUUUCUCAUGAUACAAAAAUCGAAGAAUUCGGUAACACUUUAGAAUAAGUGGUGAGACUGUUUCAAGGCAUUUCAAUUUAGUAUUACAAGCUCUCCUUAGAUGUCAUCAUAUCUUGUUCAAAAAAAACCUACAGCAGUGACUAAAAAUUGUCAAGAUGAUAGGUGGAAGUGGUUUAAAGUAAGUGAUCUUUGCUAUGCAAAUUAAAUAUUAAUAUAUGUUUGAAGAUUUGGUUUAGUGAUAAAUGGGAUUUUUUUUUCUUUGUAGAAUUGCUUAGGUGCUUUGGAUGGCACACACUUUAAGGUUCGUGUAGGUGAUAAGGACAAAGUUAGGUUCAGAAACAGAAAAGGAGAUCUUACUACCAAUGUCUUCGCUGCUUGUACGCGGGAUAUGCAAUUUAUAUAUUUAUUACCUAGUUGGGAGGGUUCGGCACAUGAUAAUAGAGUACUACAUGAUGCCUUGUCUAGACAAAGUCCAUUAAAAGUCCUCAAGGUUAUAGAGUUAGUUAUUUUUUCUAUACAUCAUAUAACAACUCUAUGAAAUAGAAAUGAUUAUAGCUUUUAUUGUUUGGUAUUAGGUUAAUUAUUAUUUAUGUGAUGCUGAGUGCAUGAAUUGUGAGGGUUUUUUAACACCAUUUAGAGGCCAAAGGUACCACUUGAGCAUUUGGAAAAGUGGUGCUCUUCCUGUGUCAGCAGGUGAAUAUUUCAACAUGAAGCAUUCUCAGGCAAGGAACGUCAUAGAGAGAUGCUUUGGAUUACUAAACAUGAGAUGGGGUAUCCUAAGACAAAAAACUUGGUAUCCUCGAAAGACCGUCAGUCGAAUUAUCUUGGCUUGUGCUCUUGUGCAUAACUUCAUUCGCACUUAUAUGUCUAUUGAUCCUAUGGAGUCUCUACUUGAAGAUAACAUAGAAGAUGAUGGUGAUAAUAUUGAAAUUAUGGAAACAAGUGGAAUGUGGAAUGCUUUUAGACAGGAACUAGCAAAUGACAUGUAUAAUGCAUGGAUUCAAAGCAGAAACACUUGACUAAUUCUAGUUAAAAAAUUCUUUUCUCCUGAGCAUUUUUACUUGUAAUGCAUGAUAUUAAGUAUUGAAUGGUUUGUUUUGGCUUAUGUAAUGACAAUGUUUUGGCUUAUGUAAUGACAAUGUUUUGACUUAUGUAAUGCUUUGUUUUGGACA
Long non-coding RNA from Chenopodium quinoa (quinoa), 1730 nucleotides. RefSeq lists it as uncharacterized. The transcript is spliced from 2 exons. Lineage: Eukaryota; Viridiplantae; Streptophyta; Magnoliopsida; Caryophyllales; Amaranthaceae. The record is from RefSeq and is a predicted model, not a curated record.